Long non-coding RNA from Hyla sarda, 894 nucleotides. RefSeq lists it as uncharacterized. The transcript is spliced from 3 exons. NCBI's taxonomy places the organism in Eukaryota, Metazoa, Chordata, Amphibia, Anura, Hylidae. The record is from RefSeq and is a predicted model, not a curated record.
UACCAGCCGGGAUGGGAAACCGUUACGGCCAUUGCUGUGUUGCAUGGUGACAGAUCGAUCCCCGACACCAGGAAGAGAAUCGUGCCAGGGACUGAAGUAGUAAUACCGGAGAAGCACAGGAGGAGUGAAAGAAAUGGAGAAAAAACUGAGGAAAUGGGGAAAAAGGAUGGAGAAGCAAUGGAGAAAUAAGCAGAGUCCAAGAGGAAGAAGCAGCACGGUGAAAUGCAGUGGAAUAUAGUCCCUCGUGGAGGCACCAUACAUACAAUGAGUCUUCAGGAGCCCUAGGUAUAAAUGUUCUUCUAUAAUAUAGUAAUGUCACAAUCACUCUAUUCUGGCUCAGUGGUUGGCAUUGUUGCCCUGCAGCAUUGGGGUCCUGGUUUCAAAUCCAACCAAGGAAAACAUCUACAUGGAGUUUGGACGUUCUUGCCGUAAGUGCUGCGGAAUAUGUUGGCAGGAAAUAAAUCAAACAACUAUUGUUACACUAUGUAUUCCUGAAAAAUAAUUGGAGCUGAAUUUUUAUCCAGCCUUUCCUGAUAAUUGACGGCUGCACCAGCUGAAAUGUACAUUAAACUACAAUGCACCUUCUGGUAAUGGGAUAGAAGGAAAGCAGUAGUUCUGUGUCCAGCCGUGAGCACUGUACACUUCAUAUCCAUUACAUGUUAUGUGAGCCUGACGUAGCCAACGCUUUUGUUCUUCGGGUGAGAUGUUGUUUCUUGAAAUCCCUCUGGCAAGUCCCAAUUAGUUCAUUCGAAAAUAAACUUGUCAGCUUGGUCUACCGUUCCGCCCACCCCGCAGUCAUUUAAGUGCGUUAUACAUGGGAUUCCCUCUGGGACAUACAUGUCCCCUCCCCCAUGGCGUCGCCGCGGUUCUCUAUUAAUGUGAUCUCUUUCACAU